This is a long non-coding RNA of Corvus hawaiiensis (hawaiian crow), 615 nucleotides long. RefSeq lists it as uncharacterized. The record is from RefSeq and is a predicted model, not a curated record. The transcript has 2 exons. Lineage: Eukaryota; Metazoa; Chordata; Aves; Passeriformes; Corvidae.
UGUAUGUUCUUACACUCCUGGAGCAGACAAGCCUCCUUUUCUAACAGCAACAAAUUUGCCUUCAGCAUAAAGUGCUGGUGUAAGUCCAUUAGUGCAGGAAUCAAGGAUGGAAAGCAGCUGUUAUUCAUCCAGGGGGAAAGCACCAGAUUCAAGAAGCUCAAGCCAAAAGGCCACCUGAGGAUGCUUCUCUGCUUCCAUUCGGAACAGAAACAGCUCUGUCAUACGGCAAAGCCCUGACUCCCGAUGGCCCCAAGGUGAACACAGCGGAUUCAGGUGGUCUGCUGAACCACGGCGCAGCUUGCAGGUGCCCCCCUUCCCUUGCUGAACGAAACCACCGAUAAUUUGGGUCAAGUGAUACAACUGCAGAGGACAGAGACAAUAAAUGUUUCUAUCAACUUUUGCACCUCAAACCUUUACAGUUCUUUGAAGACCCUUACCUGCAACACUGCUGUGGUUGAUGCCACUGCUCACAACUACGUAUGUCAAGUAGUGACUGAUACAAAGACACCAAAAUAUUUGUACUCAAUUAGGUUGCAGAGCUACUUUAGAUUGUUAAAAUGUGAUUAUACUUAACUAUUAAUAAUAAAAUCCUAUUCUUUUCCCAUUGAUAAAGAA